GAUGAACGCUGGCGGCGUGCCUAAUACAUGCAAGUCGAGCGAACAGACGAGGAGCUUGCUCCUCUGACGUUAGCGGCGGACGGGUGAGUAACACGUGGACAACCUACCUAUAAGACUGGGAUAACUUCGGGAAACCGGAGCUAAUACCGGAUAAUAUAUUGAACGGCAUGGUUCAAUAGUGAAAGACGGUUUUGCUGUCACUUAUAGAUGGAUCCGCGCCGCAUUAGCUAGUUGGUAAGGUAACGGCUUACCAAGGCGACGAUGCGUAGCCGACCUGAGAGGGUGAUCGCCCACACUGGAACUGAGACGCGGUCCAGACUCCUACGGGAGGCAGCAGUAGGUAAUCUUCCGCAAUGGGCGAAAGCCUGACGGAGCAACGCCGCGUGAGUGAUGAAGGUCUUCGGAUCGUAAAACUCUGUUAUUAGGGAAGAACAAUUGUGUAAGUAACUAUGCACGUCUUGACGGUACCUAGUCAGAAAGCCACGGCUAACUACGUG
Molecule: ribosomal RNA, 497 nt
Filed under: uncultured bacterium
Lineage: Bacteria
Description: partial 16S ribosomal RNA
Rfam family: Bacterial small subunit ribosomal RNA
Source: RNAcentral